Long non-coding RNA from Clupea harengus (Atlantic herring), 4449 nucleotides. RefSeq lists it as uncharacterized. The transcript has 2 exons. The record is from RefSeq and is a predicted model, not a curated record. NCBI's taxonomy places the organism in Eukaryota, Metazoa, Chordata, Actinopteri, Clupeiformes, Clupeidae.
GUAAUGUUUCCAUAUGUAUAUUUUAACUAUUCAGAUUGUGUUUAUUAUGUGUGGUUUUUGUGGUGGCAUGUCAAGAUUCUCAAACUGAAUCAGUUUCGUUGUUGGCAACAUGCUACAGAUCAAUGCAAAUCAUUGCAAAUGAGCUAUGUACUGCAGAAAAGAACUACAUUUUGUUACUUUUAAAAAGGCCUAUAUCGAUGGCCUAUCAGUCAGAUCAAGCGAAAGAGAUGGCCUACAGUGCAUCUGGUGUGUUUAUGCUUAAUUUCGAUAAAGCAAGCUGAAUCAAGGCCCGCAAAAUUUCUAAAUCCCUGGUAGCCCUUGGGCAGGCAUUCCUCCGAUUUUGGUUGCUCGAAAUGAAUUGGACUAGCCCAAAUAAAAAAGACAAUGUUUUAUGUAGAAACAAGCACAGACUGCAAGUCAUCAUAAAUAUCACUGUGCAUCUUACUGAAGUUUGAGAAAUCUAACUGAGCAAAAUAUCAAUAACUCAUUUUACAGUUACAGUAAAUAUAUCACUUUGUUACUUUUGUAAAGGUGUGCAUUUUGCACUUCAAUUUGAUAUCAAAUAAAUCACCUGAAGUCUAAAGAUAUCUUUAGUUAAAUAUAUCAUGGAAAGAUGCACACGUUGGUGAACAAUAAAUAACUAAAUAUCUGAAAGACAACAAAUUAAUCAGCAAACACUGCAUGAAAAGUGGGAUCAUGCCCCAAAAUCUCACUAAUUCCCAGCACUUUACAGCAUUGUUGCUGGUAGCUUUCAUCAAGUCAGCAUACUUGUUGCUAUGGCACUUUUAAGAUGUUGAAGUUGCUGGUAUUAAAACUGAUAUUGUGCCUCCUAAAUAAACUAGCUCAACAGGUUUCUGUCUGCCAACCCGAUUUGCUAAUAAUGGAAUACUCCUAGACUGCCGACAUCUGUCAUGCAUUUCUUUCCUUUCAGAUGGACUGAAGGAUUUGACAACAAUGUUUUGACAGCUCCGUAUUUUUAUUUAUCGGAAAGAAUACGUUGGAUAGUCACAGUAGCCUAAGUAGGUUAGCUAAUUCUUAAGCAAGUUGAUUUCUCGUCUGAGAUAAUUCCCUAUUCUUACAAGCAGUUUGGUUGCUUUCGGAUAUCGCAGAAAACAGAUUUGUAUUAUACUAUUUUACUACAUGGUAGGUUAUUAGUUACUUUUCCCGACACCAAGUAAACCUAUGAGUACAGAGGUGUGGUAUCAACUGAGUAGGCUCCCUGAUACCGGUCCGAUACCCAGUUACUUGUAGCCUAUGUGUCGCAAUCACACAUGGAAGUAACGCAAGGAAUGGGCUACAAAUUUACACCAAACUGAUGUAGGCCUUCUUUCCCUGUCAACCAGGGUGCUGCCAGCUCUGGGACUUAAGCCCCCCUAGCCCCCUCCUCAUUGGAUACCCUAUCAAUUGUGAUGCCCUUUACUAGACGUCAGUGGCAGGCUGUGGUUUUUGUGGUUAGGCCUUCAAUGACUAUUUGUUUAGUGACCAAAAAGUUAGAUAAAAAAAUAAGUAAACUAUUUUAGGGUUUAAACGUGCACUUUUAAAGCAAUUUCAGGUGAAAAUAAUCACAUCUUCCAUCAUAUGCGAACCUGUCUGAUACUCUAUUUUUGCUCGAGCAAAGGGAGAUGGUUUUAAACCUAAAUCAGAUUUGCAUAGCACAGCUACCAAGCAAGCUGCUAGCCAGUCAAGUUAAUGUUAUCCCAUGGCAAGUCUGUGUGUAAAUAUCUGCUAUUAUGUAGCCUUUACAACACCUCAGUAAAUUUUUAGUUAAUAGAUCCGACAUUUGACACUGUUGUUUUGGUUUUUAAUAAGUAAACGACCAAUUAAAGAAGCUAGCCAGCCCUUGCUAGGGAGCUAAUUAGGCCCAACAACGGCACCUUAAUUUGUGUCAAGAAAUAUGCUCAAACCUAGCCUUAUAGACACAAACUUUCAUCAAAAGUCAGUAAAGAAAUUAACAUUUCCACUAAUUAUUUAUCAGGUUAGUGGUUCGACUUCAAAGCUACAUAAAAUGCCCAGUCACUAACAUUAAGCCCGUAACUCACCCUUGCAUUCUAGCAAACCAAGGUACAAGAUACUCUGAUUGUGUUCUGAAAAGUCUGUGAGAUUCUGUCAUUGAAACAUUUCAAUGCACUACAUGCUUUUAAAACAGUGUUUGCCUACACACCAACAGCUAUUUGUAUAACACUGGUAAACAAGUAGUCCAUAUAUAGUAGUUUGUUACGGAUAUGUUUUUGCUAUGCUGUUUAUUAAAGUAAUGAACCUUUGAACUCUGUGGCACAUUGUUUCCCUGUAAUAAUAUUGCUGUCAUUUUCAUUUAUCUAUAUAAAACAUGCACACGCAUGAAUUUGUGUUGCAAGAAUACAUCAACAGAUAGCCCUCAAGCCUUCAUGCGUGUAUUAUUUAACUAAAAUCAGCUGUGCUGUUGAAACACAAAGGAUGAAAAUAGUUAUGGUUUGUAGCGGAUGGUUUAGUCGACCGAUAAAACCAAUUUGAAAAACAACCACAAGACAACAAAAUGCUUUUAACAGUGUUGUAUUACAUCAUAGUGGUUAACAAUAAUAAUACUGUAAAUAUUGUAGGACUUUAAACACUUUGUGAUACUCUUUGAACGUACCAUGGCAUGUCGAAUGGCACACUUGGUUGGUCAUUUCACAACCAAUGUAUAUGUCUCAACAUUAUCUGUAAAUGCACAAAACAUGAUCCACAAAUAUGCAAUAAAUAUAUAAGUAAUCAUCAACAGUAUAUCAUAUAACCCCAUUUUAAAAUACCAGUCCAGUUUAGCUCUGCUUUGUGCGUCUGUGUUAGGGAUGCAACGGUACAUAGUGUUAUUAUUAGAGACAGAAACAAGGCCUUUUCAACCAUUUUUCAGAAUAGAAAGUUUUCACAUGUACUGAACUGUGGGCCCACUCUACUGUUGCAUCCCUAGUGUGUGUGCACAUUUGGGAAACAUUUGAUAGUCUAUAAAGUGACAGAAUUACUAACAGAUCAAAUCAAUGCAGAGCAAUCUGAAUAAGAAUUUGAUCAAAUCGAGCAUGUUCAGUUACAUGUACAGUUUUACAGUUGCAUGGUAGUAGCAAAGACAUUUUAGUGGCAGGCUAACUUCAGUGAUGCAGUUAUGUAGUUCCAUGGUGAGUUUCUGUCACAUCAUCAACUAAAGAGUGCAGUUCUCCGCCAAGGCCAAAUGCGUAUCUCACAAUGUUAGUGAAAGUGAAACCAAAGUCGUGGAUCUGCCCUGUGAUUUGGAUCCGGUCCAAAAUGUAAUGGGGUCUUCCUUGGGGCAUGCUACACCACCUUUCCACCAAGUGUCAUGAAAAUCGGGCCAGUAGUCUUUGUGUAAUCCUUUGUGUAACAGUCUAUUGAUUGUCCAUUUAAAUGACUAUGCUAGGUUAGCUAUAUGUUUGCCCAGUUAUUAUAUUGAAGUUACUAGUCAUUCGGGGGAAAAGCGAUUUCUGAUAUUUGUUGAGCCAGGCUGAAGAGUUUCUGGGUGAACCGGGUUGAAACAGUUGUAGCUCUGAUGUUGAAUGUCAUCAUUGCUGUGCAGUACAGGUCGGAGGAACCAUUUGCUCCUUUUGUUCAGCUUGCAUUGUUGUUGUCUUUGGAAUAACUUCCUCUGCUCGUUCCUGUUGUUAAGUUAGCUAGCAGACUUUCUGCUGCAGCCGCUAGCUCUAAACUUGUUUACUCUCAAUUAGCAGUGUGUUGUCUUGGCUUACGAGAAAUCUUAGGCAGUCGCUACUGUAAGAAAGAGAGUUAGGUGUGUCUGCCUUGAGCAGACCAUACGGUAAAGGAGGACCUUACGUCAGAGAGCUUGAGUGACAGCUCUCCUGAGAGAACAAGGAGAAAGACAAAGUAGCAGCUCCCUUGCGAGAGCGGGGAGAAAGAGAGAGUUAACUCUAGGUGAUUUUGAGUCUUGUUCACCAAAUCAGGGGUUGUAGUUCAGGUGACAUCAGGCUACAGUUACAGUGAUUGAUUGGAGGAGAGGUGUUGACUGUUUACGUAAGUUUCGGUUUAAAUCACACAAUGAACGAUUUCAAAGUGUACCACCAACAACUCAUUUAUCCAGUGACUGUAGAAAACAUUGCAUUCACCUACCUUCUGGACUGUGCUACUCACAACCCCCCGGCUACAUCAACCAUGUACUGGAACACACGUAGCCCAAAAUACAAUAGACAUGUCUACUGCAGUGUGUGUAGAGGUAAAAUUAUGAACUUCAAGACAGCAAAGGGAGACGUUAAGCCCAAAUCAUUUUUGAAUUUGCUAGGCCGUUCAUUGAAGUCAUGUCACAUGUCAACUCUGUUCAAGUAGCACACUGUUUCCCUGUAAUAAUAUUGCUUGUCGUUUCCAUCUAUCUAUCAGAACAUGCACAUGGGGCACAUAGGUGCAACCAUAUGAACAACAACCAAAUACAUGGCAUUACAAAACGCAUGAGAUAGGGAGGUAUUACAUAAAUAAAAA